Molecule: ribosomal RNA, 444 nt
Filed under: uncultured bacterium
Lineage: Bacteria
Description: bacterial SSU rRNA
Rfam family: Bacterial small subunit ribosomal RNA
Source: RNAcentral
UGGGGAAUAUUGGACAAUGGGCGCAAGCCUGAUCCAGCAAUACCGCGUGUGUGAAGAAGGCCUUCGGGUUGUAAAGCACUUUCAGUAGCUAAGAAAGGCUCAGGGUUAAUACCCUUGAGAGUUGACAUAAACUACAGAAGAAGCACCGGCUAACUCUGUGCCAGCAGCCGCGGUAAUACAGAGGGUGCAAGCGUUAAUCGGAAUUACUGGGCGUAAAGCGCACGUAGGUGGGUGUUUAAGUCGAAAUGUGAAAACCCCCGCAGCUAACUUAGGGACUGGCAUGCGAUACUGGACACCUAGAGUAUAGUAGAGGAAGUGGAAUUUCCGGAGUAGCGGUGAAAUGCGUAGAUAUCGGAAGGAACACCAGUGGCGAAGGCGGCUUCCUGGGCUAAUACUGACACUGAGGUGCGAAAAGCGUGGGGGAGCAAAACAGGAUUAGAUACC